This is a long non-coding RNA of Betta splendens (Siamese fighting fish), 164 nucleotides long. RefSeq lists it as uncharacterized. The transcript has 2 exons. The record is from RefSeq and is a predicted model, not a curated record. NCBI's taxonomy places the organism in Eukaryota, Metazoa, Chordata, Actinopteri, Anabantiformes, Osphronemidae.
CAGGCAAGAAAGUGAAGGUUAAGCAUUUAUUUUGGGAUUUUUGAUGAUUCGUAACCAUUCCCUCUGGGGUGUGCAGCCAGCAAGUUCGACGGUGGAUUUGUUCGGACGUAAGGAGCAACAAGUGCUCAGAAGGAAAGAAUAAAUUCAUCUGUGAUGAUAAAGAA